AGUUUAAAGAUGUGUUACAUCAAUUACAUUCAAAUUACAGAUAUGAGUUUAUAUAGAGCAGACGGACGCCCGAGGGCUUCCGUCUCACAAGUGCACAGGUGUGUGUGGAUGAAAGAGAAGGCGUGCACAUGCCCCCGAAAGGACCAGCGACAACCGACUCUACAUUCAUUCAAUAAUGAUCCUUCCGCAGGUUCACCUACGGAAA
This 205-nucleotide unclassified non-coding RNA is filed under the name uncultured fungus. RNAcentral describes it as "sequence contains ITS1". The record is from RNAcentral. Lineage: Eukaryota; Fungi.